This 497-nucleotide ribosomal RNA is filed under the name uncultured bacterium. Its description in RNAcentral is "partial 16S ribosomal RNA". It matches the Rfam family "Bacterial small subunit ribosomal RNA", at positions 28 to 507 of the family's 1533-position model. The record is from RNAcentral.
GAUGAACGCUGGCGGCGUGCCUAAUACAUGCAAGUCGAGCGAACAGACGAGGAGCUUGCUCCUCUGACGUUAGCGGCGGACGGGUGAGUAACACGUGGAUAACCUACCUAUAAGACUGGGAUAACUUCGGGAAACCGGAGCUAAUACCGGAUAACAUGUUGAACCGCAUGGUUCAACAGUGGAAGACGAUCUUGCUGUCACUUAUAGAUGGAUCCGCGCCGCAUUAGCUAGUUGGUAAGGUAACGGCUUACCAAGGCAACGAUGCGUAGCCGACCUGAGAGGGUGAUCGGCCACACUGGAACUGAGACACGGUCCAGACUCCUACGGGAGGCAGCAGUAGGGAAUCUUCCGCAAUGGGCGAAAUCCUGACGGAGCAACGCCGCGUGAGUGAAGAAGGUCUUCGGAUCGUAAAACUCUGUUAUUAGGGAAGAACAAAUGUGUAAGUAACUAUGCACGUCUUGACGGUACCUAAUCAGAAAGCCACGGCUAACUACGUG